GGGAGCCAGGUCUGGCUCCUUGGACUGUAUCUUCCGUGCUCCAGUGGGAGUACAGACUAAGAGGGAGAAGGGGGCUGGGUAGAGAUGCAGCCCAUGUCGGUAUGGGAAUCACUCGACCUCUCAUUUCCUUCAAUCUUUCACUCCUAAAAUGUCUAGUAAACCUUUUAGUCUGUUCUAUUCUGCGUUCAUUCCCUUGACUUUCAGCCCUUGUAAUUCACAUAGUUUGGCUGGGAUCACUCGCUUCACAAAAGGAAAAGACUUCCUCCUGUGAAGAGAUCCUUAGUAUACUACUUGAAGAACCGCGAAGUCAGGCUACAGAAUGAAACCAGCUACUCUCGAGUGUUGCAUGGUUAUGCAGCACAGCAACUUCCCAGUCUCCUGAAGGAGAGAGAGUUUCACCUUGGGACCCUUAAUAAAGUGUUUGCAUCUCAGUGGUUGAAUCAUAGGCAAGUGGUGUGUGGCACAAAAUGCAACACGCUAUUUGUCGUAGAUGUCCAGACAAGCCAGAUCACCAAGAUCCCCAUUCUGAAAGACCGAGAGCCUGGAGGUGUGACCCAGCAGGGCUGUGGUAUCCAUGCCAUUGAGCUGAAUCCUUCUAGAACACUGCUAGCCACUGGAGGAGACAACCCCAACAGUCUUGCCAUCUAUCGACUACCUACGCUGGAUCCUGUGUGUGUAGGAG
This 682-nucleotide small RNA is filed under the name Pongo abelii (Sumatran orangutan). RNAcentral's name for it is "processed transcript". The record is from RNAcentral. Lineage: Eukaryota; Metazoa; Chordata; Mammalia; Primates; Hominidae.